CCCUUAGAUGUUCUGGGCCGCACGCGCGCUACACUGAUGCAUUCAACGAGCCUAUCCUUGACCGACAGGUCCGGGUAAUCUUUGAAUCUGCAUCGUGACGGGGAUAGAUUAUUGCAAUUAUUAAUCUUCAACGAGGAAUUCCCAGUAGGCGCGAGUCAUCAGCUCGCGUCGAUUACGUCCCUGCCCUUUGUACACACCGCCCGUCGCUACUACCGAUCGGAUGGUUUAGUGAGACCCUCGGACUGGUCCCGCUGUCGGACAGGCAACUGUUUGCAGCGCGUGCGCCGGGAAGAAGGUCGAACUUGACUAUCUAGAGGAAGUAAAAGUCGUAACA
Molecule: ribosomal RNA, 334 nt
Filed under: uncultured eukaryote
Lineage: Eukaryota
Description: partial 18S ribosomal RNA
Rfam family: Eukaryotic small subunit ribosomal RNA
Source: RNAcentral